This 297-nucleotide ribosomal RNA is filed under the name Triticum aestivum (bread wheat). RNAcentral describes it as "partial small subunit ribosomal RNA". Lineage: Eukaryota; Viridiplantae; Streptophyta; Magnoliopsida; Poales; Poaceae. The record is from RNAcentral.
GUAGGUGAUGAAAUUCCUCCUCAAGCCAUAAGAAGAAUGGGUGUUGGUUUUAUCCUACCCAUUGAGGAACCCCUUGUGGCCGAAGGAGAAGGACAAUGCUCCACUCGAGUGGAGCCAUCACCAACCCAAGGCCCACACGCUUCCGAAGAACAAAGUGAAGGCCCUCAACCGCAUGAACAAGACCAAGGGCAAAAUCAUGAUCAAGACGGUGGAGACACACCAAGUGAUGCCCAAGGUCAAGUUCUCUCCUCCGAGCAAGUUCAAGAUCAAGAACAAGCUCAAGACGGCGCUCAAGAU